RNAcentral lists this unclassified non-coding RNA (1080 nucleotides) under Hevea brasiliensis (rubber tree). Lineage: Eukaryota; Viridiplantae; Streptophyta; Magnoliopsida; Malpighiales; Euphorbiaceae. The record is from RNAcentral.
GAGAGAGAGAGAGAGAGAUGCUAAAGUGGGAGAAGUCCUCUUAGCUGGAGAGAGAAGUUGAAGAGAUAAAGGAGAAACAAUGGAUAGAUACUCUUACACCUCUGUUAAUUCGCUCAACCACAUUGUCUUGACUCUGGUUUUGUCUCCUGAAACCUUGUUUUAUAUUGUCAAGCAAGGACAUAUGCAAGGCUCUUUCAAAAUUAACAUCAAUACAUUUGCCUUCUCAAAGCCAUUUCCUUUGAUACCUCCACUGGGCUUUGAAGGCUGCCGAUGGAAAUAUUGUUGUUGAUGUUUAGUGAAUGGAAAGGAAACAAAUGGCUUUUAGGUCUCUGUCACUUCCUAUUAUUCAAAGCAACACUGAUUAGAGACUUUAUUACAUUAAAUUGAGAAAUUACUCUCAGGCCAACAAAAAUUUAAAAUUAUAUUUCUGACCCAAAGUAUAAGAAUUAAACAUCUUCUCCCUAUCAACUUUAAGAUUUAUAGUGUUCUGUCUAGAUUUUAAAUAAUAAUAAUUUCAAUUUCUAUUUGAUAAAAAGAGUGAUGGAAUGCUUCUAGUGAGCAAAGUUUCAAUAUUGAAAAGCUAGCAAACUGAAUGAGCGUAAUGUAUUUACCACAAUCCAAACUAGCCUACCGACUUUUCCCGCCCUGUGUACCACAUGCUACCAUAUGUAGUGAAUUCCUAUCUCUAUUCAGGUUCCUGGUACAACAAAAAGUAUAAUUCUUCUUGAGAUGCGCCAAUCUGAUCCCAUCGGUGAGCACUGCAGAACCUUGUCACAUCAGGACAAACUUGAUCUAUCUUGAAUUUUUUUUGUCAAAGGGCUCUUUAAUAUCUCAUAUGCCUUUCUCUAAUGGGUUUUUUGUGUUAAAAUCAACUGGAAUGGUUUCAUCAGAUUAUCGGGUGCCUAGUAAAUGGUGCUAAAUUCUUUCCUUUUGUUCUGGACUUUACUUGGGUUUUCACCUUUUUUUUCCUAUCUGAUCCUGGUUAUGUUGUUUGAUUUGAUAUAUUUCUAUCUGGACAUAAAAUUCUCUUCUUAAGUUGCUAUUUUUCUAUUUGUUCAGGGAUAAAGUUGUUGACUUCCA